CGCCUCUUGCCCAACUAUAAGAGGUCCAGCCUGCCCAGUGACUCACGUUCAACGGCCGCGGUAUCCUAACCACGCGAAGGUAGCGUAAUCAAUUGUCUCUUAAAUGGGGACUUGUAUGAAUGGCAUCACGAGGAUUUAACUGUCUCCCCUCUCUAAUCUGUGAAACUAAUCUCCCUGUGAAAAAGCAGGGCUGUUCUUAUAAGACGAGAAGACCCUGUGGAACUUUAAACAAGUAAUAAUUGCUUUCCCCCACCACCUCCCAGGAGUUCCUGUCCCAAGCAUACUAACUACAAGUUUUCAGUUGGGGUGACUAUGGAGAAAAACCCAUCCUCCAUGAUGUAAACCAAAUUAAAACCACAAGCUACAGCUUUACGUAUCAGCAAACUGGCAUCCAUUGACCCAUUUAUAUGAUCAACGAACCAAGCUACCCCAGGGAUAACAGCGCAAUCCACUUUGAGAGCACAUAUCGACAAGUGGGCUUACGACCUCGAUGUUGGAUCAGGGUACCCCAGUGGUGCAGCCGCUACUAAAGGUUCGUUUGUUCAACGAUUAAAACCCUA
RNAcentral lists this ribosomal RNA (560 nucleotides) under Craugastor punctariolus (Bob's robber frog). RNAcentral describes it as "partial 16S ribosomal RNA". It matches the Rfam family "Bacterial large subunit ribosomal RNA", at positions 1829 to 2598 of the family's 2925-position model. The record is from RNAcentral. Lineage: Eukaryota; Metazoa; Chordata; Amphibia; Anura; Craugastoridae.